Long non-coding RNA from Panthera uncia (snow leopard), 693 nucleotides. RefSeq lists it as uncharacterized. NCBI's taxonomy places the organism in Eukaryota, Metazoa, Chordata, Mammalia, Carnivora, Felidae. The record is from RefSeq and is a predicted model, not a curated record. The transcript is spliced from 3 exons.
UGUCCAAUGGGUGAAUGACAGUGGGAAUCUAGUCUCCAUUCUCUCUUAGGUUCAGUGUCCCGAUGUGUGUCCACAUUAGGAAGAGGAAGAAAUGUUCUUGUGUAAUACCUUCAAAUAGAUGUUUUCGGUAAUUCCCAUAAAGGUAGAGAUAUGAGAUUGUUAAAUUAUAAUGGAGACAGAAGAAACAGAAAAGAAAGCAAGAAGAUGAUCUCAGCUCUCAUGGGGAAAAGCAGGUCAACUAUGGUGGCCCUAAAUGAGUGGUUCUCAACCAGGGGAAGAUUUCAGCCCCCCCGGGGGACAUUUGGCAAUGUUGGCAGACAUUACUAAUUGUCAUAACUGAGGGGUUGCCACUGGCAUCUGACAGUGUUGACCUUCUUCCUAAUGUUGACCUGCCAUUCACAGCUGCGAAGUCGUGUUCAGCACAGCACAGUUUAAGAAGAUGCUAUUAUACCAUCAAAAGAUGAGAAAACUGAGAGCCAGUGUCCAUCAAUGUCAACAUACUGAAUAAGUGUCCAUGCCAGAAUUUGACCCAAGUUGGUCUCCAUCUAAAAUCUAAGCUUUUGUGUUCAAGUCCCUUGAGGGAAAAAAAAAAAAUAAUGGCACAAGGAUUUUGCAGUAAAGAACUCAAUUACAUAAUGCAUUCACUGAAGUUCUAAGGGAAAUUCAGAAAAUGGUUGAUUAAAUGGGAUCAAG